AACGAACGCUAUCGGUAUGCUUAACACAUGCAAGUCGGACGGACUAAUUAGGGCUUGCUCCAAUUAGUUAGUGGCAGACGGGUGAGUAACACGUGGGAAUCUGCCCAUCAGUACGGAAUAACUUUUAGAAAUAAAAGCUAAUACCGUAUAUUCUCUACAGAGGAAAGAUUUAUCGCUGAUGGAUGAGCCCGCGUCAGAUUAGGUAGUUGGUGAGGUAACGGCUCACCAAGCCGACGAUCUGUAGCUGGUCUGAGAGGAUGAUCAGCCACACUGGGACUGAGACACGGCCCAGACUCCUACGGGAAGCAGCAGUGGGGAAUAUUGGACAAUGGGCGAAAGCCUGAUCCAGCAAUACCGAGUGAGUGAUAAAGGCCAUAGGGUUGUAAAGCUCUUUUAGCAAGGAAGAUAAUGACGUUACCUGCAGAAAAAGCCCCGGCUAACUCCGUG
This 447-nucleotide ribosomal RNA is filed under the name uncultured bacterium. Its description in RNAcentral is "partial 16S ribosomal RNA". It matches the Rfam family "Bacterial small subunit ribosomal RNA", at positions 29 to 507 of the family's 1533-position model. The record is from RNAcentral.